AGUGAACGCUGGCGGUAGGCCUAACACAUGCAAGUCGAACGGCAGCACAGUAAGAGCUUGCUCUUACGGGUGGCGAGUGGCGGACGGGUGAGUAAUACAUCGGAAUCUACUUUUUCGUGGGGGAUAACGUAGGGAAACUUACGCUAAUACCGCAUACGACCUACGGGUGAAAGCAGGGGAUCUUCGGACCUUGCGCGAUUGAAUUAGCCGAUGUCGGAUUAGCUAGUUGGCGGGGUAAAUGCCCACCAAGGCGACGAUCCGUAGCUGGUCUGAGAGGAUGAUCAGCCACACUGGAACUGAGACACGGUCCAGACUCCUACGGGAGGCAGCAGUGGGGAAUAUUGGACAAUGGGCGCAAGCCUGAUCCAGCCAUAACGCGUGGGUGAAGAAGGCCUUCGGGUUGUAAAGCCCUUUUGUUGGGAAAGAAAAGCAGCAGGUUAAUACCCCGCUGUUCUGACGGUACCAAAAGAAUAAGCACCGGCUAACUUCGUG
RNAcentral lists this ribosomal RNA (492 nucleotides) under uncultured bacterium. RNAcentral's name for it is "partial 16S ribosomal RNA". It matches the Rfam family "Bacterial small subunit ribosomal RNA", at positions 29 to 507 of the family's 1533-position model. The record is from RNAcentral.